This 253-nucleotide ribosomal RNA is filed under the name uncultured bacterium. Its description in RNAcentral is "partial 16S ribosomal RNA". It matches the Rfam family "Bacterial small subunit ribosomal RNA", at positions 524 to 776 of the family's 1533-position model. The record is from RNAcentral.
UACGUAGGGUCCGAGCGUUGUCCGGAGUUACUGGGCGUAAAGCGCGCGCAGGCGGAUCGUCAAGCAUGGCGUGAAAGCCCCCGGCUCAACCGGGGAGGGUCGUCGUGGACUGGCGGUCUUGAGGGCGGUAGGGGCUGGUGGAAUUCCCGGUGUAGUGGUGAAAUGCGUAGAGAUCGGGAGGAACACCUGUGGCGAAGGCGGCCAGCUGGGCCGACCCUGACGCUGAGGCGCGAAGGCGUGGGGAGCGAACGGG